RNAcentral lists this ribosomal RNA (479 nucleotides) under uncultured bacterium. Its description in RNAcentral is "partial 16S ribosomal RNA". It matches the Rfam family "Bacterial small subunit ribosomal RNA", at positions 28 to 523 of the family's 1533-position model. The record is from RNAcentral.
GACGAACGCUGGCGGCGUGCUUAACACAUGCAAGUCGAACGGUGAGGCCCUUCGGGGUACACGAGUGGCGAACGGGUGAGUAACACGUGGGUGAUCUGCCCUGCACUUCGGGAUAAGCCUGGGAAACUGGGUCUAAUACCGGAUAGGACCACUGCCUGCAUGGGUGGUGGUGGAAAGCUUUUGCGGUGUGGGGAUGGGCCCGCGGCCUAUCAGCUUGUUGGUGGGGUGAUGGCCUACCAAGGCGACGACGGGUAGCCGGCCUGAGAGGGUGACCGGCCACACUGGGACUGAGAUACGGCCCAGACUCCUACGGGAGGCAGCAGUGGGGAAUAUUGCACAAUGGGCGCAAGCCUGAUGCAGCGACGCCGCGUGAGGGAUGACGGCCUUCGGGUUGUAAACCUCUUUCAGCACCGACGAAGCGCAAGUGACGGUAGGUGCAGAAGAAGGACCGGCCAACUACGUGCCAGCAGCAGCCGCAG